UUCACGAUUCAGGAACUAUUUUCAUGUUUAAUUAAUUACAAGUAUCAUUCUAAAUCCAAUUUAGGGUUUUUUUCUACUGUUUUUUCUUUUAGGGUUUUUUAGGGACGAAAGGGUUGGCAGCGAUAUUGUUAAUUUACUUAUAUGCAUUAAACUUCCUUUUUUUCUUUUUCUUUUUUUUUUUUUGAUAAACCAUGUUUAGUAUUAGUGACAAUUUAGUGUGAUGUUAAAGUUUUACAUGAAAACCAUAUGAAUGUUAAUGGGUUAGAAUCUGUCAAACAUGUGUUAUUCAGAUCCACAUACUAAUGGUUGAGCUGUGUUUGAAUAGUUGUUAAUGGAACUUAAUUUUUUGAUGAUUGGCCUCAGUAUAUUCACUUAUGGUAAACACAUUACUGAAUAAAGCUUUACAAGAGCCGUUCAAUGAAAUCUGACCUCUAUUUAGUGGCAGUCUACAUAAUAGAUUGUAUGUUGUGUGGUUUGUUUCGCUAAUGUUGAAUCGGGUUAAGACACUAAAACAACAAUGAACGGUGCUUAUACAUUGGCUAACCCAAAAGUCUAACACCAACGUUUAUGUUUAACAAAUAAUAUUCACGAAAACCUUGAAAGAUUAAGUUAAUACGGUACAUAUCUCCUUUCAGGUUAUCCAAGGUUUUAUGAAUUGUUCAGACCACCACGGCGUUACCUCUUUGUUGUUUGUCAGAGUACAGGUCCCUAAAUACCUUAAGGGAGGAGUCAGUACUUUAUAUGAUAUUGGGUUGAAAGCCGGCAAAUAUUAGACCUUCAUAAGCAACGCGGCCAUUAAAAGAGUUGUUCCUGAUCCUAGCGGUGUAUAUGACCUUCAGAAGCAAGGCGGCAACUAAAAGAGUAGUUCCCGAUCCUAGCGGUGUAUAUGAGGACAACCACUAAUCGAUACCAUUGACAUAGCUACAUAGGGUCAAAAUGUAAAGGACAACUAAAACAGCUGCUUCCACUUUUUUGUUGUAAAAAUAAAGUGGAGAAAGAUUAAGCCCAUAAAAGUACUUCAAUUCAUGAUAUUUUUUUUUUGUACUCUGAACUUUUUUGUAUGUGGUAACUGUUACACAAUGCCUCUUUGUGUAAUAUCUUGCUAAAUGAAGGUUGAAAAGGACACUAACUUCAUUUUUCUUAA
Long non-coding RNA from Erigeron canadensis, 1144 nucleotides. RefSeq lists it as uncharacterized. The transcript has 2 exons. NCBI's taxonomy places the organism in Eukaryota, Viridiplantae, Streptophyta, Magnoliopsida, Asterales, Asteraceae. The record is from RefSeq and is a predicted model, not a curated record.